Molecule: non-coding RNA, 207 nt
Organism: Vicia faba (fava bean)
Lineage: Eukaryota; Viridiplantae; Streptophyta; Magnoliopsida; Fabales; Fabaceae
Source: the annotation of a GenBank genome assembly
AUGCUUCUAGUGCAAUUUAAUUCGUGGUAUACCUUUUAUGAGAUCCUUGGUAAGUUUGGAAUCCACCGUGCGAUUUUCAUGCGACUCUGUUUUGACUUUUUGCGCACUCAUUUUCAUGACGUACAUGCUUCCCGGAUUUUGCUCUUAUGUUUCCAUUGCUUGCUUCAUUUCACUCUAUGCAUGAUAACAUGUCACUUUAACUUGUGA